AGCCAAAUGGGGUGAGCCUCGGUCUCAGGGCACUGGAAGCAGCGAUGUUCUCUCAGCAGUGGGUCCUUGGGCAGGGCGAUGCAUCACCGGUACAGAUGCUGCUAAGAGUUGAAGGCAACACAUACAUGUUAUCAGCCAGAGGCAACAACAUGGCAAAGCAGAGGCUCCUUUAUGGAGGACAAUUGAUGUGUCCUGGUGUGACGGUCACCCCGCUCUGCCCUCCCUCCUGACAAGCCAGGCACAGCUCGUCCAGCGCCUUGCUGGCAGCCUGUCACCAUCGUCUGAUUGGACUUCCUUCUUUCUGGAAGAAAAGAAAAAGAAAGAAUGGAGGAGAAUAUGUGUUUAAACAAAUGUGUGUGCUUACUCCGUGGAUAAAAUCCAUUGUUACAAGUUAGUUUAGACUGCAGAUCUGCAGAGCCGUACUGGGUGUUACCAAAGAGAACAUAGCCCUUAACACUAAUUAAAAUAUUCACUUUUAAAUUUCAUCGCUGUUAGAAUUGCAUAAACCCAGCCCUUGUGAAGGGGCAGUGACAGCAAGG
Molecule: long non-coding RNA, 539 nt
Organism: Numida meleagris (helmeted guineafowl)
Lineage: Eukaryota; Metazoa; Chordata; Aves; Galliformes; Numididae
Source: Ensembl